RNAcentral lists this ribosomal RNA (472 nucleotides) under uncultured organism. RNAcentral's name for it is "partial 16S ribosomal RNA". It matches the Rfam family "Bacterial small subunit ribosomal RNA", at positions 332 to 796 of the family's 1533-position model. The record is from RNAcentral.
UACACUCCUGCGGGAGGCAGCAGUGGGGAAUUUUGGACAAUGGGCGAAAGCCUGAUCCAGCAAUGCCGCGUGAGUGAAGAAGGCCUUCGGGUUGUAAAGCUCUUUUGUCAGGGAAGAAACGGUGAGAGCUAAUAUCUUUUGCUAAUGACGGUACCUGAAGAAUAAGCACCGGCUAACUACGUGCCAGCAGCCGCGGUAAUACGUAGGGUGCAAGCGUUAAUCGGAAUUACUGGGCGUAAAGCGUGCGCAGGCGGUUUUGUAAGUCUGAUGUGAAAUCCCCGGGCUCAACCUGGGAAUUGCAUUGGAGACUGCAAGGCUAGAAUCUGGCAGAGGGGGGUAGAAUUCCACGUGUAGCAGUGAAAUGCGUAGAUAUGUGGAGGAACACCGAUGGCGAAGGCAGCCCCCUGGGUCAAGAUUGACGCUCAUGCACGAAAGCGUGGGGAGCAAACAGGAUUAGAUACCCGAGUAGUCC